Molecule: unclassified non-coding RNA, 376 nt
Filed under: uncultured bacterium
Lineage: Bacteria
Description: contains 16S-23S intergenic spacer region
Source: RNAcentral
UCCGGUUUGUCACCGGCAGUCCCACUAGAGUGCUCAACUGAAUGUAGCAACUAAUGGCAAGGGUUGCGCUCGUUGCGGGACUUAACCCAACAUCUCACGACACGAGCUGACGACAGCCAUGCAGCACCUGUGCACGGGCUCCGAAGAGGGCCUCCCGUUUCUGAGAGGUUUCCAGUGCAUGUCAAGCCUUGGUAAGGUUCUUCGCGUCGCGUCGAAUUAAACCACAUGCUCCGCUGCUUGUGCGGGCCCCCGUCAAUUUCUUUGAGUUUUAACCUUGCGGCCGUACUCCCCAGGCGGAUGACUUAACGCGUUAGCUGCGCCACCGAAACGCUAAGCGCCCCGACAGCUAGUCAUCAUCGUUUACGGCGUGGACUAC